RNAcentral lists this ribosomal RNA (775 nucleotides) under uncultured Neocallimastigales. RNAcentral's name for it is "partial large subunit ribosomal RNA". It matches the Rfam family "Eukaryotic large subunit ribosomal RNA", at positions 18 to 635 of the family's 3401-position model. The record is from RNAcentral. Lineage: Eukaryota; Fungi; Neocallimastigomycota; Neocallimastigomycetes; Neocallimastigales.
UCAGACGAUGCGUCAUGCAUAUCAAUAAGCGGAGGAAAAGAAACUAACAAGGAUUCCCCUAGUAACGGCGAGUGAAGCGGGAAGAGCUCAAAUUUGAAAUCUUAUAAGGGUUUCCCUUUACGAAUUGUAGUUUAAAGAAGUGUUUUCUGUUGAGGUUUUGGUAAAAGUUCUUUGGAAUAGGACAUCAUAGAGGGUGAGAAUCCCGUAUUUGACCUUUACUUUCAACUUUGUGAUACACUUUCAAAGAGUCGGAUUGUUUGGGAAUGCAGUCCAAAAUGGGUGGUAAAUUUCAUCUAAAGCUAAAUAUUGGCGAGAGACCGAUAGCGAACAAGUACCGUGAGGGAAAGAUGAAAAGAACUUUGAAAAGAGAGUUAAACAGUACGUGAAAUUGUCAAAAGGGAAGCGUUUGACACCAGUGUUGUUUUUCUGAAAAUCAAUUAAAGAACUGUUUAUGCUAAGUUGUUUAGACUUUAUCAGCUAACUGUUUAGUUUUGAGCUUUUCUUUAAUGCACUUUUCAGUUAACAAGUCAACAUCAAUUUCUUUUGCUGUAAAAAAGCUUGAGGAAGGUGGCUUGAGAUUCGUCUUAAGUGUUUAUAGCCUCUUGCCUAUGCAGUCGGAGAGAUUGAGGUCUGCAGCGUAGAUCCUUCGGGGCUAAAUGCAUUUGUGCUAAGUUAUAACAUUUUAUAGACAACUUGUUGACUAUGAUUUGUCUUGUAGCUUACUCGCUUAUGUUAUUUUACCUACGCUUAGGAUGUUGAAGAUGUAGCACAUCAU